GUGCAGCACAUCAGCACACGUACUAAAAUUGGAAUGAUACAAAGAAGAUUAGCAUGACCUCGGCGCAAGGAUGACAUGCAAAUUUGUGAAACAUUCCACAUAUUU
This is a small nuclear RNA of Ornithorhynchus anatinus (platypus), 105 nucleotides long. The record is from RefSeq and is a predicted model, not a curated record. Lineage: Eukaryota; Metazoa; Chordata; Mammalia; Monotremata; Ornithorhynchidae.